UAAUGGCCCACCAAGGCAAAGAUCGGUAGCCGGCCUGAGAGGGCGCACGGCCCACUGGAACUGAAAUACACGGUCCAGACUCCUACGGGAGGCAGCAGUGGGGAAUUUUGCGCAAUGGGGGAAACCCUGACGCAGCAACGCCGCGUGGAGGAUGAAGUCCCUUGGGACGUAAACUCCUUUCGACCCGGACGAUAAUGACGGUACGGGUGGAAGAAGCCCCGGCUAACUUCGUGCCAGCAGCCGCGGUAAUACGAGGGGGGCAAGCGUUGUUCGGAAUUAUUGGGCGUAAAGGGCGCGUAGGCGGUGCGGUAAGUCACCUGUGAAACCUCUAGGCUUAACCUAGAGCCUGCAGGCGAAACUGCCGUGCUUGAGGGUGGGAGAGGUGCGUGGAAUUCCCGGUGUAGCGGUGAAAUG
RNAcentral lists this ribosomal RNA (414 nucleotides) under uncultured Acidobacteriota bacterium. RNAcentral describes it as "bacterial SSU rRNA". It matches the Rfam family "Bacterial small subunit ribosomal RNA", at positions 258 to 688 of the family's 1533-position model. The record is from RNAcentral. Lineage: Bacteria; Pseudomonadati; Acidobacteriota.